AAAGCUGAGGAAAGCAUGGCAACUGACCACCCAGUAUCAUCAGCUAGUGUAGGCAAGAGUGUUGGAUCUUCAUCUGCUUCUGUUUCUGACAGUGGUCGUCGUGAGGGGAUUGAAGGAGGGUACUGACAGUGACAUUAAUUUUGCACAGAUGUAGUUGGAUUACAAAAUAGGCUGAGAAAAGUGCUUGUGGUAAGGGAGGCAGAUACAAAGAUGAGAAAACUUUUAGCAACUGCUGCAAACUUAGAGCUGAAUUAUCAUGAGGAAGCCAGCUUUAGCUUCCUAGUUUUAUUGCUUUUCCUGACAAUUCUCAGAUUAUAUGAGUUGUGCAAGGUUGGCAAAAUGUAAAUUGUGCAUGUGAAAGAUUACUGCUAUCUUACAAAAUAUUCCUUUACAAAAAUAAAAAAUAAAAAAUUACUGCUUCAAAAGUAGAAGUUUUUGGCCUGAGUGGCAUGAAAGAAGAUGAGGGAUCUCUCUCUGUCUCUACUCUUCUUUUUGUUUGUAAGAAAGAAGAUAAAUUCUUCUUAAUUUUUAU
RNAcentral lists this long non-coding RNA (532 nucleotides) under Carica papaya (papaya). RNAcentral describes it as "long non-coding RNA (CPAP_LNC009514)". Lineage: Eukaryota; Viridiplantae; Streptophyta; Magnoliopsida; Brassicales; Caricaceae. The record is from RNAcentral.